GAACCGACUCUUUUGGUGAACGUAGGAAACGGAUUGACAAAUGUGAAGGAUUGUGUGAGUGAGUGAGGAUGAGGAGAAGAAUCAGACGGACGAGGUGUCCGGUGCUCCUGUGGACAGAGAGAGCUCCAAGCUGAAGGAGUGAGUGAGGGAGCUGGAGGAACUGUUCUGUGAGACACACAGAGAGUGUGAGAGAAACAACAAGCUACAGUCACAUUAAAAUGGAUCACUUUAAUUCUACGAUCAUUAACGCUAUUUGAAAUAUGAGGAAGCGAUGGAGUACAUAAGCCAAGUCAAGACGAGAACUCCAACCUGAGGUCUGAUGUGGAAACUCUACAAGACUCGGUGCAGGAGUUGGACGAGAGCUCGCUGUGUCCUGGAUAACAUGAAAAGAGAUAACAAGAGAAUGUGAUGGAGCAAAACAUCAGCUGAGGAUCCUGCAGUCCGAGUGCAGUGAGAUGAAGGACAUUUUACUGAAGGCCUCUCUCUCUAUGAAGCUGAAUGCAAAUAUGAGAAGACAGUGAUGACCAGUGUUGAGCUGGAGAAGACGAACUCUGACCUGAUGUCCCUGGUGACCACGCUGCAAGGUACAGUGGAGGUGAUGGAGAAGAAGCUCGCUGAGACAUGCAGGACGUGUGAUGACUUCCCUGCUGAAAAAUCCAGCAUAAACCAGCAUGAAUUCCAUGCUGGUCCAGGCUGGUUUUUACUGGUUCAUGCUGGUAUAGUGCUGGUAUAAUGCUGGUAUAGUGCUGGUAUAGAUUGGUGGCCAGCAUAGUCAUGGUGUUAUCAAUCAAAACAGGGCUGGUGUAGCUCUUUAACCAGUAUGAUCUUUCUGGAAUGAGUUUUAUGGGAACAACCUUUAUUUUUGCUUGUAUAUGUUUCUAUGUAACACAUUAAUAUAAGAUUAAAACACAAUAUAUUGGAAUAUAUUUAA
Long non-coding RNA from Tachysurus fulvidraco (yellow catfish), 931 nucleotides. RefSeq lists it as uncharacterized. Lineage: Eukaryota; Metazoa; Chordata; Actinopteri; Siluriformes; Bagridae. The transcript is spliced from 5 exons. The record is from RefSeq and is a predicted model, not a curated record.